UACAGAGGAUGCAAGCGUUAUCCGGAAUGAUUGGGCGUAAAGCGUCCGCAGGUGGUUUUGUAAGUCUGCUGUUAAAGCGUUAGGCUCAACCUAAUAAGGGCAGUGGAAACUAUGAGACUAGAGUAUGUUAGGGGUGGAGGGAAUUCCCAGUGUAGCGGUGAAAUGCGUAGAGAUUGGGAAGAACACCGGUGGCGAAAGCGCUCUGCUAGGACAAUACUGACACUGAGGGACGAAAGCUAGGGGAGCGAAUGGG
RNAcentral lists this ribosomal RNA (253 nucleotides) under uncultured bacterium. RNAcentral describes it as "partial 16S ribosomal RNA". It matches the Rfam family "Bacterial small subunit ribosomal RNA", at positions 524 to 776 of the family's 1533-position model. The record is from RNAcentral.